Molecule: long non-coding RNA, 3196 nt
Organism: Symphalangus syndactylus (siamang)
Lineage: Eukaryota; Metazoa; Chordata; Mammalia; Primates; Hylobatidae
Source: RefSeq, a predicted model, not a curated record
UUCCAAGGUGAAGGAGGAGGAGCCUCUGAGGGAAAGUUUCCAUCGAAACUCGAGCUGGGCGCAGUGGAGCCCUCGCGCCCUUGGGGGCUAGCGUUUGGCCAGAGCUACACACUCCUUACUCACGCACGCACACCGCCGUACACAGCACAGUCGUUCACCGUCCCGCCAAAGGCUCGUCUCUAGGGUUCUGCCGAGUGGAAGGAGUCGGACAACGCCGCACGUCACGGGCGUUUUCGAUUUCUCACUUCCCGAAGGUUUGACGGCGGCCACUGGCGCAAUGGCCCAGCUCUUCUUUCCUUUGCUGACUCCUUCCUUGAGGUGUGAAUUUUAAAAUGCUGAUACCGUCCCAAGAGAGCUGAGUCAACUGUCUACCACCACUGCUGCGCUAGUGGAUGACUGCAGGAACACCGGGUACUUGCCACAAGUAUCUCUCCAGAUUCAUCAGCCUUUCACCUGUGACAAGCGCAGUCAAGAAGUGGCUCCUAAGUAAAAGCUGGGGAAGAACAAGGAAGAUAGAGCUCAGAGUAGAAAGCUGUGAAGUUCUGCACAACAGGUCCCCUUGGCCUGCUCUAACAGUUGGAAUGUGGGGAAAGCAUUCAUUUACUCAACAAAUAUAUACUGAGUGCCUUUUGCGUGCUAGGCACGCUUCUAGGGGUUGAGGACACAGCAGAGAGCACAAACAACAAUUCCAGCCCUCGUGGAGCUUACCUCUUCCAGAGCAACUUGUGUCAUAGGAAUCAUCAGGCAAUAAGAUGCAGGGAAAACUCUGGAUACUGCAUACCCAAAGUUGAAUACAUUUUUCUUCUUUUUGAAACUUUCAAUAUACAUAAAGACAAGUGCACAUAUUAUAAGUAUAUAGUUCAGUUUAUUUCCACAAACUGAAUAAACCCAUGUAAUCAGCACCCAGAUCGGGAAACAGAAUCUGGAAGCUUCCUUGUGUCCCCUUCCAAUCACUAUUUCCCCUCACGGUUAAUCCUGACUUCUAACUGCAUAGAUUUGUCUUGUCUAUUUUUGUACUUUAUAUAACUAGAAUAAUAGAAUAGAUACUCUUUUGUAUCUGUCUCUCUGGUUCUUAUUUGUAAGAUUCAUCCAUAUUGUUGAUGUUGUUGUGCUUAUGGGUAGUUUAUUAUUUGCUGUAUAUAAUAUUUCAUUGGGUAAAUAUUCCAUGAAUUAGCUAUCCAUUACUACUUGUAAGUGUACAGCUCAGCUUAUUUCCACAAGCCGAAUAGACCCAUGUAAUUAAUGGUUGUUUGGUGACAGAGAGAAAGGUUUUUUUUAAAAAUCUUUUAAAAUGCAUGACAGGAAAGUAGAAUUACUUAAGUACUAAAAAAACAAUAAGAAGGGGGAAAUUAAAGUGGUGUAGCUACUUUGGAAAACAGUCUGAUAGUUCCUGAAAUAAUUAAACAUAGAUUGACUAUAUGACCCAGCAAUUGCACUCAUAGGCAUAUAUGCAAGACAAAACAUAUGUCCACACAAAAGCUUGUACAUAAAUAUUCAUAGCAGCAUUAGCCACAAUAUCUAAAGGGUGAAAAUAAUCCAGAUGUCCAACAACUGCUGAAUGUUAAACAAAAUGUGGUAUAUCCAUAUAAUGGAAUAUUAUUUGGCCAUAAAAAGGAAUGAAGUGGCCGGGCGCCGUGGCUCACACCUAUAAUCUAGCACUUUGGGAGGCCGAGGCGGGUGGAUCACUUGAGGUCAGGAGUUCAAAACCAGCCUGGCCAACAUGGUAAAAUGCCAUCUCUACUAAAAAUACAAAAAAAAAUAGCCAGGUGUGGUGGCAGGUCCCUGUAAUCCCAGCUACUUGGGAGGCUGAGGCAGGAGAAUUGCUUGAACCCGGGAAGCAAAGGUUGCAGUGAGCCAAGAUUGUGCCACUAUACUCCAUCCUGGGUGACAGAGCAAGACUCCAUCUCAAAAAAAAAGGAAUGAAAUAUUAAUAGGAUAUACACUGCAAUAUGGAUAAAGCUUGAAAAUAUUAUGUUACAUAAAAUAAGCCAGGUAUGAAAGAUAUUAUUGUAUGAUUCCAUUUAUAUGAAAUGUCCAGAAUCAAAAUAGGCAAAUUCAUAUAGGCAGAAAGAGGCUCGGGGAGUUAGAGUUAGAGAGGGGAAUGGGGCAUGACUGCUAAUGGAUACAGGGUUUCUUUCUGUUGUCGUGAAAAUGCUCUGGAAUUAGAUAGUAAUGAUGGUUCUACAUGUAAAUAUACUAAAACCACUCAAUGCAUACUUUUAAAAAGAUGACUUUUACAGUAUAUGAAAUAUCUGUCCAAUUUUUUUAAAGGAAAGUAGAAUAAAAGAGUGCCAGAGCUGGCACUUGUCUGGAAAUUAUCCACUGAUCCUUGGUGGCCUACAGCCUGGGUUACAAUGGGUUAUAAAUGAAGGGACAGGAGACAAACCUUCAGAGGAAGACACUAGGAGAAGGGGGGUGGCAAUGGAAUCCACAGAGGAAGACAGUGAAGAUAUGUGCCUUUUUGAGCCUUGGCCCUGGGUGGAAUGAUUUAAAAAAAAAAAGUUUCCCCUGAAAAUCACUAACUCCACACCUAAUUUGGAGCCAGAAUUAAUAUUUUCUAUGUGGUCCAAAAAUACUUCAAAAGUUUAGAUCAGACAGGUCCUGGAAUGGUUGUACCUCUAGGUGCCCAGCCGGCACAACAAACACAAAUCCUGUUGAGGAAUGCAUUUUAAAUCCAGGCUUCAAAGCAUUGCCACAGAUAAAUAUGCAAAGAAAUUGAAUAUUAUAAUUUCCCUUUGGAUUUCAGUUUAAUCCUGCGUGUUUUAGGAAUUUUUUAUUGACAGAGCUGUUUAACUCUACCUUUUUGUUAUUAACUAUUCUAGUGUGCUUGGUUUUUUUUUUUUUUUUUUUGAGAUGGUGUCUUGCUCUGUCGCCCAGGCUGGAGUGCAGUGGCGCUAUCUCGGCCCACUGCAGGCUCCGCCCCCUGGGGUUCACGCCAUUCUCCUGCCUCAGCCUCCUGAGUAGCUGGGACUACAGGUGCCUGCCACCUCACCUGGCUAAUUUUUUUGUAUUUUUAGUAGAGAGGGGGUUUCACCGUGUUAGCCAGGAUGGUCUCGAUCUCUGACCUCGUGAUCCGCCCGCCUCGGCCUCCCAAAGUGCUGGGAUUACAGGCGUGAGCCACCGCGCCCAGCCAACUAUUCUAGUGUUUUGUUGUCAGAGAACAUACUCUGUGUGAUGCUAAUUAUUUGGAGUUUAU